AUUGAACGCUGGCGGCAGGCUUAACACAUGCAAGUCGAACGAUGAUUAUCUAGCUUGCUAGAUAUGAUUAGUGGCGGACGGGUGAGUAACAUUUAGGAAUCUGCCUAGUAGUGGGGGAUAGCUCGGGGAAACUCGAAUUAAUACCGCAUACGACCUACGGGUGAAAGGGGGCGCAAGCUCUUGCUAUUAGAUGAGCCUAAAUCAGAUUAGCUAGUUGGUGGGGUAAAGGCCCACCAAGGCGACGAUCUGUAACUGGUCUGAGAGGAUGAUCAGUCACACCGGAACUGAGACACGGUCCGGACUCCUACGGGAGGCAGCAGUGGGGAAUAUUGGACAAUGGGGGCAACCCUGAUCCAGCCAUGCCGCGUGUGUGAAGAAGGCCUUUUGGUUGUAAAGCACUUUAAGCAGGGAGGAGAGGCUAAUGGUUAAUACCCAUUAGAUUAGACGUUACCUGCAGAAUAAGCACCGGCUAACUCUGUGCCAGCAGCCGCGGUAAUACAGAGGGUGCGAGCGUUAAUCGGAAUUACUGGGCGUAAAGCGAGUGUAGGUGGCUCAUUAAGUCACAUGUGAAAUCCCCGGGCUUAACCUGGGAACUGCAUGUGAUACUGGUGGUGCUAGAAUAUGUGAGAGGGAAGUAGAAUUCCAGGUGUAGCGGUGAAAUGCGUAGAGAUCUGGAGGAAUACCGAUGGCGAAGGCAGCUUCCUGGCAUAAUAUUGACACUGAGAUUCGAAAGCGUGGGUAGCAAACAGGAUUAGAUACCCUGGUAGUCCACGCCGUAAACGAUGUCUACUAGCCGUUGGGGUCCUUGAGACUUUAGUGGCGCAGUUAACGCGAUAAGUAGACCGCCUGGGGAGUACGGCCGCAAGGUUAAAACUCAAAUGAAUUGACGGGGGCCCGCACAAGCGGUGGAGCAUGUGGUCUAAUUCGAUGCAACGCGAAGAACCUUACCUGGUCUUGACAUAGUGAGAAUCCUGCAGAGAUGCGGGAGUGCCUUCGGGAAUUCACAUACAGGUGCUGCAUGGCUGUCGUCAGCUCGUGUCGUGAGAUGUUGGGUUAAGUCCCGCAACGAGCGCAACCCUUUUCCUUAUUUGCCAGCGGGUUAAGCCGGGAACUUUAAGGAUACUGCCAGUGACAAACUGGAGGAAGGCGGGGACGACGUCAAGUCAUCAUGGCCCUUACGACCAGGGCUACACACGUGCUACAAUGGUAGGUACAGAGGGUUGCUACACAGCGAUGUGAUGCUAAUCUCAAAAAGCCUAUCGUAGUCCGGAUUGGAGUCUGCAACUCGACUCCAUGAAGUCGGAAUCGCUAGUAAUCGCAGAUCAGAAUGCUGCGGUGAAUACGUUCCCGGGCCU
Molecule: ribosomal RNA, 1355 nt
Filed under: uncultured bacterium
Lineage: Bacteria
Description: bacterial SSU rRNA
Rfam family: Bacterial small subunit ribosomal RNA
Source: RNAcentral